This 250-nucleotide ribosomal RNA is filed under the name uncultured bacterium. RNAcentral's name for it is "partial 16S ribosomal RNA". It matches the Rfam family "Bacterial small subunit ribosomal RNA", at positions 524 to 773 of the family's 1533-position model. The record is from RNAcentral.
UACGGAGGGUCCAAGCGUUAAUCGGAAUUACUGGGCGUAAAGCGCGCGUAGGCGGUUUAGAAAGUUGGAUGUGAAAUCCCCGGGCUCAACCUGGGAACUGCGUUCAAAACUCCUAAGCUAGAGUACGAGAGAGGGAAGUAGAAUUUCUGGUGUAGCGGUGAAAUGCGUAGAUAUCAGAAGGAAUACCAAUGGCGAAGGCAGCUUCCUGGAUCGUAACUGACGCUAAGGUGCGAAAGCGUGGGUAGCAAAC